CAGUAGCCACGGUAAUACGGAGGAUCCAAGCGUUAUCCGGAAUCAUUGGGUUUAAAGGGUCCGUAGGCGGUCUUGUAAGUCAGUGGUGAAAGCCCAUCGCUCAACGGUGGAACGGCCAUUGAUACUGCAGGACUUGAAUUAUUGGGAAGUAACUAGAAUAUGUAGUGUAGCGGUGAAAUGCUUAGAGAUUACAUGGAAUACCAAUUGCGAAGGCAGGUUACUACCAAUUGAUUGACGCUGAUGGACGAAAGCGUGGGUAGCGAACAGGAUUAGAUACCCGGGUAGUCCCUGUCUCUUAUAA
RNAcentral lists this ribosomal RNA (301 nucleotides) under uncultured bacterium. Its description in RNAcentral is "partial 16S ribosomal RNA". It matches the Rfam family "Bacterial small subunit ribosomal RNA", at positions 509 to 809 of the family's 1533-position model. The record is from RNAcentral.